RNAcentral lists this long non-coding RNA (122 nucleotides) under Gouania willdenowi (blunt-snouted clingfish). Its description in RNAcentral is "lncRNA (ENSGWIG00000020656.1)". Lineage: Eukaryota; Metazoa; Chordata; Actinopteri; Blenniiformes; Gobiesocidae. The record is from RNAcentral.
CACAAAAAGCCGAGAAAACUACGAAAUGAACGGGAGGCAGCAGGAUCAAACCAGCUCAAGAGGCUUUGAAUAAACAAAAAGAAGGCAGAAAAAUUGCUGAAUCCUUAACCAACCUGAAAGAC